CCCGCUGAACUUAAGCAUAUCAAUAAGCGGAGGAAAAGAAACUAACAAGGAUUCCCCUAGUAACUGCGAGUGAAGCGGGAAAAGCUCAAGUUUAAAAUCUGGCGGUCUUGCGGCCGUCCGAGUUGUAAUCUGGAGAAGCGUUUAUCCGCGUCGGACCGUGUACAAGUCUUCUGGAAGGGAGCGUCGUAGAGGGUGAGAAUCCCGUCUUUGACACGG
RNAcentral lists this ribosomal RNA (216 nucleotides) under uncultured fungus. RNAcentral's name for it is "partial 28S ribosomal RNA". It matches the Rfam family "Eukaryotic large subunit ribosomal RNA", at positions 24 to 233 of the family's 3401-position model. The record is from RNAcentral. Lineage: Eukaryota; Fungi.